CAGGCCACUGAUCCUCCCGACCUCUCGAAAAAAAACCUGCGCACAACUCCACGCCCGCACGACCUUUCGCUCGCUUCUCCUCCUCCUAACUGACGCCCGCGCCGAUCCUCUGCCGCCCACCGUGCCGGUCGCCGGUCCUCCUCUGCUGCCCCAAGAACGCCGCCGGCCGCCGGUCUGCCACCGCUGCCCCAAGAACGACGCUGCCUAGACCGCAUGGCCCUGGCCAUGGGGGAUGCCGCCGCCGCCUGGCCUCAUGGCUGCAGGUCCCAUGGUUGUUAGAUCUAGGCCACACAUGAGAGUCACCUUGGCAGACUGGCGACCGCGUGGUGCCGAGCCGGAAGGAGGCAUAGGGCAGCACGUCACCGCAUCAUGGUGCACAAACGGCCUGCAAGGUGAGUGCCCAAGACAUACUAGCCAGUGCUGUCACCGGGGACAUGUACGCACGCGCAAACCACCGUUACCUCAGGUCCAUCCAUUCAUUGUGUGGUUUUGAGUAAGUAUGAAAUUCCGUCUCUUUCCAUAGAUACGAACACAUGCUUCGAUCUAUUUUCAGGAUAUUUUAUUCGGCGUUCGUGGUUAAUUCAAGGAGGACUCUGUUUAUCAGGUUAAUAUACAGAAACAUCAAAUGCAACAAAAUUUCUUCUCUAAUUCUGUAGGAUAUCAAGGCUUAAUAGAUCAUGUGUUGCUAUCGCAAAUUUUGAAACCAUCGUAUCUUUUUGGUCUAUCUACCAACGUCAUGGAACUGGCCCCAUAGAUGUAUACCUAUAUUGUUCAGAAAUUUGUCUCAGUACUGAGAUAGUAAGAUGUAAAUCUAGCUAACUUAUCUAUCUUCCAAGUGCCGUUGCACUGUUUAGUACUUUUGUUAACUUAACCUUUUUGGUUGCAAUGUGAUCUCUGUUAAUCACAUUAUGUACGCAUAAGAUUACUUCCGAUUUCGACCAAUCCUCUAAUGGCCACUGGUUAGUUCCAGUAUAUAUAAUGGCAAAUAUAGAAGUGUGCUUUACAAAACUUUGGCACCAUAUGAAUCAUGGUACAUGCACACAUGUUUGUCUUGGCAUCGCAGAGAUGGUGAAGCCCGGCAAAAUGGUUGUUCCUAGAUAUAUAGAAGUGUGCCUUACCAAACUUUAGGCACCAUAUGAAUCAUGGUACAUCCAAGUACAUGCUUGUCUUGGCAUUGCAGAGAUGGUGAAGCUCAACAAAAUGGUUGUUCCAAGAUGUCUCGAUGAUAGCUGCAAGAAAUUGGCAAGCAACUUUAUGAGUUCAAAAAUCCCUUGAGCUACAUGGCUAUCAAAUAAAAAAAGAAGCAUGUAUUUACAAGGCACAAUGUAAUACAAUUGGGCAUUUUGAAGUGGCUUCGAUCUCCGCAAGUGCAUGUUGAUUGUUGUGCUUGGGUAAGGCAUUCGCACUCCGCUUGUUACUAUUCUCCUGGAGGAUCCACAUCAACUGCAGUUCUUCCAUUGGGCAAACAACCUCAGGUAUGGAAAGACAGGUUUCUUCCGCUCGACUACAUCUCAUGUUGUAUAUUUCCUCAAUUCAUUUCCAGAUCCUAAUGAAUGGGAUGUAAAUAUGUUUAAUUCAGAAAUAAUGUUCUGCCUACUGUUUGGGUUAGUAAAAAAUGUAACUAAUUUAGCGGAUGGUGUUAUUUGAUGCCAUAUUAUUGGAUUUUUCCUCUGGUGUUAUGGAUAAUCUGAUCUAUAAUUUGUAUGAUGUAUAACCAUCAGUUCAGUAGAUGAUUCAUUUAUAUUAUUUCAAAGGUUUGGCAAUGAAGAGCCUGUUUUACUUAAUUUUUCUAAGAGGGGUUAAAGUUAUGAACAUGAUUCAUUGAAAAUUGGCAUAAGAACAUCAUGAAUUUGUAAAUAUAGGAUUUUUACUUUCUAGGUCUAUUUCUCUAUGGUCAUGCUUCUUAAUUCGAUUUUACCUUCUAUGGUUCAAACUAGACAAGAGUGUUAUCCUUUGUUUAGCAUGCCUUCUUUUCUGGUAAUUUUUAUAGAUAUAUCUGAAUUUUAGUUGAGUAAACAAGUAUGACUAAAAAUAAACUCAAACAUGAAGCAAAAGCUUUGCCGUUUUGAUUAAGCUUAACAUUGUCCAGUUAAUCAUAGAAUACGAAGCAAAAAUCGAAAAAUCGAAACCAAUGGGCAAAUCCCACUUCAGAACACCGUAAACACAUAGGGCCAUGUGUCGAAUGCCACAACAAAUGCCAACCACACAAACACACACUGGCUGGGAAACUUGCUACGUCGAACAAGCCGGUCUUCCAUCAAUACUGGAAAGAAGUCACGAGGCACUCUCACGUGGCGACGAAGAGACAAGCAUUCCACAUGCCUGCAAUAGUUGCAACCCACACAAUACCACUACUCCAACACACCUUGUGCACUCAACUGCUAUCGCUUCUUGGGUCGUCCUGACUUGCCAUUGCAGAGACGUGCGUUGCACGUGCAAGCUUACUAGUGCGUUUUAAAGAGAAUUUAUGCCGGCAUUAUUGUAUUAGUAUAAACAUAGCUUGUAAGAUAAGAUAGAACACAUGCUCUUCUGAAUAGAGCAGCAUCACCAUCGAUCCGUGCUCCGAUUUGCCACCAUGGAGUGACCUGGAAUUUGGUCGGUUGGAAGUUUUUGGAGAAACCGAGUUGAUGGAGAACCAGGGAAUUGGGGGUCAGCUGGAGACGGUUCACUUAAGUUUUGAUGAGG
RNAcentral lists this ribosomal RNA (2685 nucleotides) under Triticum aestivum (bread wheat). RNAcentral describes it as "partial small subunit ribosomal RNA". Lineage: Eukaryota; Viridiplantae; Streptophyta; Magnoliopsida; Poales; Poaceae. The record is from RNAcentral.